CCUAACCAAGUUCGCCGUCACUGUCCACAUAGCGUCCACUUCCCCAUAACUUCUCCAAGCUCCGCCCUCCACUAACUUCCUUUCCAACUCCUGUGCUUUCUCAUUAGACAAAGCUCCCCAUCUAAUCCGCGGUUGACCCUGGGCACCCCUCCGCUUCUUCUUCACCCAGAGAUCGACAUCCAUCACUAGCAGUCUAUGAAGAGUUGAAAGAGACUCUCCCGGAAUAACCUUGCAGUCCUUGCACAAGCCCCUAUCGCUCCUUC
Molecule: long non-coding RNA, 263 nt
Filed under: Nicotiana benthamiana
Lineage: Eukaryota; Viridiplantae; Streptophyta; Magnoliopsida; Solanales; Solanaceae
Description: long non-coding RNA (NBEN_LNC030269)
Source: RNAcentral